Molecule: long non-coding RNA, 692 nt
Organism: Esox lucius (northern pike)
Lineage: Eukaryota; Metazoa; Chordata; Actinopteri; Esociformes; Esocidae
Source: Ensembl
GUCGAUGAAAGCAACAAGUAAAAAUGCAUUUCUCACCUAACGGAUUCCAAAUGUCUGCGAUGGAUUCGUUUCAUUGGAGCUCCCUCGUGCUUGUUAUGUUGACUGUUGGAUGCAGCAACGGCCAGAAUCAACCGUGUCUGGUGGAGGAAGUAGUGGGAAACUACGUCAGGUUUGAAACCAACCUCGACCCCUCACAUGUGGCCAACUUUGCCACUUUAACGUGGCUUUUCAAUGGACUGGUGCCAAUUGUUACAUCUGUGUCCACUAACGUGAACAUUGAACGCGGCUAUGAAGGAAGAGUGUCACUGAAUUCAUCCACCUUUGCCCUGACGCUUGGACCUUUGACGAAGGAAGACAGUGGGGAUUAUUCUGUUUCCAUUAUCAGUCAAUCUGGGGUUUACUUGACCGAAAGCUUUUCGCUCAGAGUUGUAGACCCAGUGUCCGGUGUGACCAUCACAUCCAACAUGAACGCGGCUGUGGAAUUCAACGAUGAAUUGUUUUGUAUUUCUAAUUAACACUGUGGAUUGUUUUUAUAUUACUUAAAUAAUGAUUUAAUGGAACUACUGUACAAAUACAAAGAAAAUGUUAAGACCUUUUUUGUUAUUGUUAUUAACACUAUGGUGUUAAUUAAAGUAAUUGUUCAUGUGCUUACUGUACAACUAGCUCUUUACAACAUAAACACAAGAUUAUUU